This 253-nucleotide ribosomal RNA is filed under the name uncultured bacterium. Its description in RNAcentral is "partial 16S ribosomal RNA". It matches the Rfam family "Bacterial small subunit ribosomal RNA", at positions 524 to 776 of the family's 1533-position model. The record is from RNAcentral.
UACGUAGGGGGCAAGCGUUGUCCGGAAUCAUUGGGCGUAAAGAGCGUGUAGGCGGCUCGAUAAGUCUGCUGUGAAAGUCCAGGGCUCAACCCUGGAAGGCCGGUGGAAACUGUCGGGCUAGAGUCCGGAAGAGGCGAGUGGAAUUCCCGGUGUAGCGGUGAAAUGCGCAGAUAUCAGGAGGAACACCAACGGCGAAGGCAGCUCGCUGGGACGGUACUGACACUGAGGCGCGAAAGCGUGGGGAGCGAACAGG